Molecule: long non-coding RNA, 1271 nt
Organism: Mya arenaria
Lineage: Eukaryota; Metazoa; Mollusca; Bivalvia; Myida; Myidae
Exons: 3
Source: RefSeq, a predicted model, not a curated record
CUAUUGUUAUUUUGGACUAUAGGGUGUAGUUUUUAAAGUCAUACACAAUAUGGCGGCGAUUAUGCGGAAAUGAAAUUGAAUGUUACUUCGAACACGUUCUUCUACAAAAUAACCGACCUGUAUUUAGUGCUAUUGCUUUAACAUCAAUCGAAGCAAAAAUGGCAUCAAUGUAUGCGUCUAAAAAUGUUAAAUUUAGAUGGAGACAAUCCAGAAAUGAGCUGCCAGGAAGUGAUCGAUUUCGGACACGAAGAUUGAGAAGUGCCUGGAUACAAGGCUAGUAUUGUUAACAUCAUCUGAUACAAUCAACUGGAACAAAGCUGAAAUGGCUGCCUGACCUGACUUAAAAAUUGGAUGGCAGUACACCAGACUAGAAGAUUACAAGUAUCGACGUGGACAAAAUGAAACCUGAGCCUACCAAAGCUGACAGAUUGCACAAGAAACACAUAAAUGCAGAUUGGAAGAUUCAUUCUCUGGAAAGUAGAAAAGGGCGUGUUACAUACUGUUAUCACUGCCAUGACAGAAACCAUAUUGAGGAGCUGGUCCACCUGUAGGAAGAAUUGCGCUAUUGCUGCAACUUUUUUUGCAGUUGUUGCAGUGAAACUUGCACCAGUGUGUUUUCUGUGGAGAUAAAGAGAUAGUGUCCAGCAAUGAAGACCCAACUCAAGAUCUGACCUUGUAAGGCCAAUAUGAAAUAACUGUGUGGGAAAAUGGGAAAAACCUGCAGUCAGGAAUGCACGGAAAUCAUCAAAAGAACAGUGUUAAAUUAAUCUUGAAUAACUUGACAUUUAUUUUGUUUGACAUAUUUAUUCAUGGUGCAGUGAAAACAUUCUUUUUUUCUCAUGGUUAUUUAAAUUUAGAAUUGAUAGGAGGGAACAUCACUAUGUAGUUUCAUGUUCAUAGUCAGAUCAAAACCCAUGUACAUGCCCAUAUGAGCGUUCGAAAAUAUCAAAAUGUUACUUGUUGUAUGUAGUGUAAGUUAAUUAACAUAAUAAACAAAAAUAUUCAAUCAAUUUCAAUUUAUUAUGCCCCUUUCAAAGAAGAGGAGUAUAUUGCUUUGCACAUGUUGGCCGCUACGUCCGUCUGUCUGACAGUAGACCAAAGCUUUUCCGGGUGAUAACUCUACAAUUCCUAGACCUAUUGUCAAACUUGACAUGAAAGUUUGGUUUAACCAGUAGAUGACCCCUUUUGAUUUUAGGGGUAAUAUGGUCAAAGGUCACAGUGACCUUGAACAGGAAGGUGUCAAACCAUACAUCUGACUGAUAAGUUGACAA